GCCCACAAAUAGCACCAGCUGGUUCCAGCAUAAAUGCCGAUGACAUGGAUGAGGAGACCAUGAGAGCCGUUUAGUGAAGGACAUCUGACAGGAAUCAGUGACGGCAGGUCAGGCUGUAAAACACUGGUGUGGGAUUUUAUGUGAUACAUGAGGCUUUGGCUCCGGGUUUGAAACACAGGUAUGGGGCUGGGGGUGUAACAUGGGUACGGAGGUACAGCUUUGGGAAGGAGACUCUGAUGAAGGCAAGACAAAUGCAGGAUGUGGAACAUGGGGAUUGUGGUCACACAUCUCUAAAAUGGAGCCUCAUUCUUCAGGUUGACCAACCAAGAAGCAGAACAAGGUACGCAGAUUGAAACUAAAAGAAGGACUGCAAUAACAACUCCAAUAGAAGUCCAGAAUGUUCUUCUUGGAGGAGCUGUGGAAGGAGAUCAGGAUUAUAGGUGACAGCACAUGCCAAGUCAUCCAGCACAGACCAUAGUUUAAAUGUCAAGAGCUGAUUGUGACCUGAGUCCCUGGUGCAGAAGGACAAAAGUGCUAGAGGUGAGUCUGAGAGGAGAAAUAUCAUUUCAUACCUCAGAAUGAAAAGCUGAGAAAUAAGAGCAUAAGUGGGGCUUAAAAUAUAAAAGAUAAACAUCCGGAAGAGAAAAACUGGGUCACAGUGAAGAUAUAUAAUAUAACACAUAUAAUAUAAGUCAUCUACAGCGAGCAGCUGGGCCCCACACAGCAACACGUUAGACGCAUGUCUCUGGAUUCAGGGAGGAAACUGGAUUCAAAUGCGAACUUCAAAGAUGUGGAACCAAAAGGUGAAAAAACAUCAACAUGACAUUA
This is a non-coding RNA of Paramormyrops kingsleyae, 828 nucleotides long. Lineage: Eukaryota; Metazoa; Chordata; Actinopteri; Osteoglossiformes; Mormyridae. The record is from RefSeq and is a predicted model, not a curated record.